This is a small nucleolar RNA of Gossypium raimondii (Peruvian cotton), 106 nucleotides long. It matches the Rfam family "Plant small nucleolar RNA R71". From Rfam's summary of the family: R71 is a member of the C/D box family of snoRNAs containing the C (UGAUGA) and D (CUGA) box motifs. Multiple nearly identical copies of this snoRNA have been identified in Arabidopsis, and it is thought to function as a 2'-O-ribose methylation guide for 18S ribosomal RNA. The record is from Rfam. NCBI's taxonomy places the organism in Eukaryota, Viridiplantae, Streptophyta, Magnoliopsida, Malvales, Malvaceae.
AAUUUCUAGUGCGGGCACUUUUGAAUCAACGUUUUGAAGCACUCCCAUGCCUCAUAGAAACUCUCCCCUUCCAUCUGUCUAAAGACAACAAUCUCUCUUUUUAUUU